Molecule: ribosomal RNA, 418 nt
Filed under: uncultured bacterium
Lineage: Bacteria
Description: bacterial SSU rRNA
Rfam family: Bacterial small subunit ribosomal RNA
Source: RNAcentral
GGAAUAUUGGUCAAUGGGCGCAAGCCUGAACCAGCCAUGCCGCGUGCAGGAAGAAGCAUCUAUGGUGUGUAAACUGCUUUUAUACAGGAAGAAACAACUCUACGUGUAGAGUCUUGACGGUACUGUAUGAAUAAGGACCGGCUAACUCCGUGCCAGCAGCCGCGGUAAUACGGAGGGUCCAAGCGUUAUCCGGAAUCAUUGGGUUUAAAGGGUCCGUAGGCGGCCUUAUAAGUCAGUGGUGAAAUCUCCUAGCUCAACUAGGAAACUGCCAUUGAUACUGUAGGGCUUGAAUUUUUGUGAAGUAACUAGAAUAUGUAGUGUAGCGGUGAAAUGCUUAGAUAUUACAUGGAAUACCAAUUGCGAAGGCAGGUUACUAACAAACGAUUGACGCUGAUGGACGAAAGCGUGGGGAGCAAAC